UGUCCCGUCCGGCAACAACACCGACUAAUAAUCAACAUUAUUACCAAUUAAUAAAAUUUAUUAUUAAUCCAUCCAAAAUUCACCUCAACAUUUUUAAACAGCACAACGACUUAUUUGAUUAAAAACCAUUAUUAAUCAAUAUACAAUUUUAUCUAAUCACUCUAGAUUACCUACUUUUCCACGAUUAUUAUUCAUCCUUGUUACCAAUGUAGCUAAUGAUAAGAGUGUAGAUAAUCUGUCAAGAGUAAAGAUCCCUUACAUGGACGAACGCAAAAUCGACAG
Arabidopsis thaliana (thale cress) is the source of this 282-nucleotide long non-coding RNA. RefSeq annotates it as other RNA. The record is from RefSeq. NCBI's taxonomy places the organism in Eukaryota, Viridiplantae, Streptophyta, Magnoliopsida, Brassicales, Brassicaceae. The transcript has a single exon.